This 420-nucleotide ribosomal RNA is filed under the name uncultured bacterium. RNAcentral's name for it is "bacterial SSU rRNA". It matches the Rfam family "Bacterial small subunit ribosomal RNA", at positions 356 to 773 of the family's 1533-position model. The record is from RNAcentral.
CGGGAAUAUUGGGCAAUGGGCGAGAGCCUGACCCAGCCAUGCCGCGUGCAGGAAGAAGGCUUUCUGAGUCGUAAACUGCUUUUGACAGGGAAGAAUAAGCACUACGUGUAGUGUGAUGACGGUACCUGCAGAAUAAGCACCGGCUAACUCCGUGCCAGCAGCCGCGGUAAUACGGAGGGUGCGAGCGUUGUCCGGAUUUAUUGGGUUUAAAGGGUGCGUAGGCGGCCCGUUAAGUCCGGGGUGAAAGCCCGCUGCUCAACAGCGGAACUGCCCUGGAUACUGACGGGCUUGAGUACAGACGAGGUUGGCGGAAUGGACUGAGUAGCGGUGAAAUGCAUAGAUACAGUCCAGAACCCCGAUUGCGAAGGCAGCUGACUAGGCUGUGACUGACGCUGAGGCACGAAAGCGUGGGGAGCGAAC